AUGUAAAUGAUGGCUGAGUAACACAGAAUCCAUCUCCCAGUCACCAUCAUUGAGACCAGUUUUACUCAAUGAUAAUAAUUUUCGUGAUUGCAGACUUCAGAGUGAUCAGAAAUAUGCUUUAGCUGUUGCAUUUAUCUACUGCUGGUACUUGACCCUUAAUUAAAUUCUGAAACUUUUUUAUAUAAUAAAGUAAAAUACAGCUGACACUUCUGUUCAAACAAAGAGGCUCAAACACAGAUCCACCAAAUAAGAUAAAGGGAAUGAAGACAUUUGGAGAAGAAGCGUUUACUGAAAGGAGAUUCCUGGGCUGGAGGAAAACCAUGAUCUACAGUUCAUGUUGACAGAUAUUGUAUUUUUGGUCCUAGAUCUGACUUUUGAAAUGACUUAUCACAAAUUCAAAUUUAGCAAUCAUGAGUGAAGUACCCACGAUGUGCUAAGCAUCUACCUCUGCAGAUAGAAGAACACUUACUGUUCCUGAGCAUGGGAGGGAAUAGAAGUUCCUGGGUCCUGGCCUCACCUCAUCAGGCACUGCCAAAUUUGACACCUCCUUCCUGUUCACGGCAGUCCUUUGCGAUAGGGUAUUAGAUGCCACCAAGUAGCUGCAUAACUCACCCAUUUGGUCAGAGCCUGGGUCUAAGCCAGGUCUGACAGACUCCAAAGCAAGCCCUGUUUACAGCAUGACUGGGAUCCAGUGGGUAAGACCAACCUGUCAAUGCCCAAGUGCAGAUGCAAUAAUAGUGCUUCAACUGAUUGUUGCAAACCCCUCAUGAGGGAUGCCAAAUCCCAGUGCAGAUGGUAACACAGGCUAUUUUUCACCUCCAACCUCUAAUAUCCUUUCUUUCUUUCUUUCCUUUUUUUUUUUUUUUUUUUUUUUUUGAGAUAGAGUCUCCUCUGUCACCCAGGCUGGAGUGCAACAGCACGAUCCCAGCUCACUGCAACCUCCACCUCCUGAGUUCAAGCGUUUCUCUCGCCUCAGCCUCCCGAGUAGCUGGGAUUACAGGCACCCGCCAUCAUGUCCAGCUAAUUUUUGUAUAUUUGUAGAGACGGGGUUUCACCAUGUUGGCCAGACUGGUCUUGAACUCCUGACCUCAGGUGAUCUGCCCGCCUCAGCCUCCCAAAGUGCUAGGAUUACAAGUGUGAGCCACCACGCCCGGCCCCAAUAUUCUUUCUUACUAGACACUGUGUAAGCUAAUUAUUCAGCAAGUAUUUUGCACUGAACUCUAAAUAGGUAAGUAUUUUGUGUCCAUUUUACAGACAAGAGAAAUAAAAUAGGUAAAGUAUUUCCCCAAAGCUAUGAUAAAUGAAUCCCAUAGCUAGAAAUGGCAGAAAACCCAUGGAAACUUCUAUGGGGAGUGGAUGUCUGCCUUACCUUGGCACAAUGCUUGGUUCUCAGAUAUCAUUUCAGUGACAUUGCCAAAUGGGAGAAACCAUGUCUGGUACACGGGACUCAAGCUGCCUCAAAAUAUCCUGAAUGCAUUUUUUCAGGGGAGAAAAUCCAUUUGAAUAAGAAUAGCUAGUUAUAGCUUAUUAUGUGCCAGACACUAUUCAAAGUGUUUAAUGUGUAUUAACUUCUCAAAACCACUCUAUAAGUUAGGUACUAUGAUUUCCAUCUCCAUUUUACAGACGAGGGAACUGAGCUGUCAAAACUAAGUGACUUGAUUGAGGCCAUGCAGCUGGCGAGGGGAGGACCAGGAUCUGAACCCAACUGGGUCUCCCAAGCCUGGGCCACUGAACCAUUUCACCUCUUGGAAAAACUUAAUGGUCAGAGUGGCCCACCCAGUCCAUGGACAGCAUGGAGGAUAAACUGCUUCCCUAGAAAUCCUCUCCAGCAUUCUUGCCACCACGACUUUGGGACACAUUGACCAUGAGGAGGAGCUGGUCAAUGAUGGACAGGAGUCCAGAUUAGCAGAGAUGUGGUAAUAAGGACACCGAUGCCUAAAUACUUGAAAUAUCCAAUAGGAAGCAUUCCACCUUUGUGCAAAUGCGAACCACAUCUCACCAAGUUCAGGCCAAGGCUGCCACCGGUGACGUUUUGGAAAAGAAAAAAAAAAGCGGGGGGAGAGGAGAGAAACAGAGAAGCAAGGAAUGCAGAAGAGAGCAGAGGCCACAAAAACAGCAGCAACGUGUCCUGUGUAUUCUGUUUCCUUGUAAAACUAUGAAGCAUGUUAAGGAGAUACUUCAUUUUUUGAGGAUUCAUACUCUUGUUUAUAUUAUAAUAAAAACAACCCAUGUUCUUUCUAAAAAUUUAGGCAAUGCCUUCGUGCACAUAAAAGUAAAACAAAAUCACCUGUAAUCCUACCACACGCAGAUCAGCACUUGCUAAUCUUUUCACAGGGAUCCUAAGAAUAUCCUAUUCUCUAUAGAAUAUAGUUGAUUUAUGUUACCUAAUAACUAACUGUUAACCAUUUUAAAAUUCUUCAGUUUUACAUUAUGCUAGAAAAAAGGAGCCGUCACUCUACGUGACAUUUCUGUAUAUUGGUUUAUUCAUUCAAUAAACAUUUUUUAAGUACCUACUA
Long non-coding RNA from Homo sapiens (human), 2516 nucleotides. Ensembl annotates it as long intergenic non-protein coding RNA 1102. NCBI's taxonomy places the organism in Eukaryota, Metazoa, Chordata, Mammalia, Primates, Hominidae. The record is from Ensembl.